AUUGAACGCUGGCGGCAGGCCUAACACAUGCAAGUCGAACGAGUGGCGGACGGGUGAGUAAUGUCUGGGAAACUGCCCGAUGGAGGGGGAUAACUACUGGAAACGGUAGCUAAUACCGCAUACCAUCGGAUGUGCCCAGAUGGGAUUAGCUGGUUGGUGGGGUAAAGGCUCACCAAGGCGACGAUCCCUAGCUGGUCUGAGAGGAUGACCAGCCACACGGGGACUGAGACACGGUCCAGACUCCUACGGGAGGCAGCAGUGGGGAAUAUUGGACAAUGGGCGAAAGCCUGAUGCAGCCAUUCCGCGUGUAUGAAGAAGGCCUUCGGGUUGUAAAGUACUUUCAGCAGGGAGGCGUUACCCGCAGAAGAAGCACCGGCUAACUACGUGCCAGCAGCCGCGGUAAUAC
Molecule: ribosomal RNA, 406 nt
Filed under: uncultured bacterium
Lineage: Bacteria
Description: partial 16S ribosomal RNA
Rfam family: Bacterial small subunit ribosomal RNA
Source: RNAcentral